AGCAGCCGCGGUAAUUCCAGCUCCAAUAGCGUAUAUUAAAGUUGUUGCAGUUAAAAAGCUCGUAGUUGAAUUUCGGGAUUUAUCCGUUGGUCGGGCUUUUGGUCUGUACUGGCGUGAUGGAUUCCUACCUUCUGAAUAACCGGCAUGCCAUUAAUUUGGUGCGCCGGGGAAGCAGGACUGUUACCUUGAAAAAAUUAGAGUGCUUAAAGCAGGCUUAUGCCUGAAUACAUUAGCAUGGAAUAAUGAAAUAGGACGCAUGGUUCUAUUUUGUUGGUUUCUAGGAUCACCGUAAUGAUUAAUAGGGAUAGUUGGGGGCAUUAGUAUUCAAUUGUCAGAGGUGAAAUUCUUGGAUUUAUUGAAGACUAACUUCUGCGAAAGCAUUUGCCAAGGAUGUUUUCAUUAAUCAAGAACGAAAGUUAGGGGAUCGAAGACGAUCAGAUACCGUCGUAGUCUUAACCAUAAACUAUGCCGACUAGGGAUCGGACGAUGUUAAUUUUUUAAUGACUCGUUCGGCGCCUUA
This 520-nucleotide ribosomal RNA is filed under the name uncultured Glomus. RNAcentral's name for it is "SSU rRNA". It matches the Rfam family "Eukaryotic small subunit ribosomal RNA", at positions 569 to 1090 of the family's 1831-position model. Lineage: Eukaryota; Fungi; Glomeromycota; Glomeromycetes; Glomerales; Glomeraceae. The record is from RNAcentral. RNAcentral also lists the same sequence under 1 other name.